AGUCCGUGGUGCGAGCAACAUCGGACCAAGUCUUUGUAACUCUCCCAAGCAUCGUACAUGCUCUCGUCAUCGAACUGCACAAAAGAAGAUAUAUCAUUACUCAAUCU
This 107-nucleotide small nucleolar RNA is filed under the name Ricinus communis (castor bean). RNAcentral describes it as "Plant small nucleolar RNA R71". It matches the Rfam family "Plant small nucleolar RNA R71". From Rfam's summary of the family: R71 is a member of the C/D box family of snoRNAs containing the C (UGAUGA) and D (CUGA) box motifs. Multiple nearly identical copies of this snoRNA have been identified in Arabidopsis, and it is thought to function as a 2'-O-ribose methylation guide for 18S ribosomal RNA. Lineage: Eukaryota; Viridiplantae; Streptophyta; Magnoliopsida; Malpighiales; Euphorbiaceae. The record is from Rfam by way of RNAcentral.